UAGAGAUCCUGAGGCUUUGGGUCAGCAGGCUUGGCCCUUUCAGAAACCCCAAUAUUUCACAGAUAAUAUAGAUUUUGAAGUGGGCCAACUCAAAGCCCUGGAUCUGGGCCUGGGUUGUAGCUGAACUGCUCAGUGCGUUAAAAGUUAAAGUUAAAAUAUCCACCACCAGGGCAAGCUCUCCAGCACUGCUCCAGCUAGACCAACCAACGCUACCACCAGUAAGAAUCAGGGGCAGCUCUCCUGCUCCCAUGCCCUUGGAUCAGCUCAUCUGCACCCACACCUGCAGAGCCAGCUCCACUGUCCUGUCCACUGGAGUGAAUGGAGGUGAAUUCAGACCCUUAGCUGCAUGAGAUGCUGAGAAGAAAGCCCCAUCAAGGAUGCAGCUCUAAAAGUGACAUUUAUAUAACCAUUUUAAGACUCUGGAAUGCCACCAAAGAUGAAAACCUAAAAGGUAGAACUCCCUUCUGCGACUGAGAAAAUGGGAAGAAAAUGUUCUCAUGAAGUCAACAGUUGCUAACAGUGCGAGUAUUUUUAGACAUGAUCUCAUAUUAUACCCCAGGAUGCCUGGGAUUCAUCAAAGAACCCAGGCUCGAAUUUAGCUCACAGAAAUCUUUCUGCCUCCGCCAUCAAAGUGUUUAUAUUACAAGCAUGAGUUAUCACAGCUGAAGCUCCUUUACAUCUUACUGUGAUCUUCAGUGUGGAUGAUCUUGAAAUUCAGAAGUGUCAGCCUGCAGCACGGUUUGAAAAUGACUUGUCCAGUUGUGAAUUUCCUGGGCCAGGAAUUUGUCAACCAGACAUGGAAUGCCAAUUUAUUCAUAUUUACACACUAAAAUAACAAUACUACAAUUAGUAGCGAUGAGUUUUUGAAGAAAAGCUGAGAUGCCAUGCAAUGUGGGACAGGCUGAGUCAUUGCAAUCAGCACUCAGGACAAAUGCUGAAGUUACGUUUGAAGACAGUUACCACAGAGAACCCAGACAGAAAAAGUUAAGAAGUAUAUUCAAUGUCCAAGAACAUGAUACAGCGUGCAAUGCCAGCCUACAAUGAUGGCCACCUGUAUUACAAUGAGUAAAGCCAUGGGGAUAAUGAUACUCCAUCUCCUGGGAGCUUAACCCAGUGUGUUUCUGAUGCUAAGAUAUCUACAGAAGCUGAAGGCAUGGGUCUUGAGGCAAGUGUUUGCUACAAGACAUGAGGCGAGUACUGUGUAUGGAUCCCCAGCAUCUUUGCAAAUCAGUACAGCAAUGUAAAAUCUACAAUUUUCACAAUUACUCUUCAAAGUUGGCGACUGAAGGACCUUCCUGGCGGGUAACGAUACAGAAGUGCAGCUGGACCAGCUAAAGCCUGCUUGCAGAGCUGCCUCUUUCAUGGCUACCUCAUAAUUAGACAAUGGUCGCUUUGUCUACAGGGGUCUGCAAAUGCUCUCCUCUCCAAAGAAAUGAUCACUGAUGAUAUUUAUUACUGUUACACUUUAUGUCUUUGAAACAUACCAACAGAGAGUUCAGAUUUGAAUUUUUUAAUUCAAAUGGAUUUUAAUUAAGCAGAAAGCUUGCAACGGAAGAGAAAGGCUUCUUCCAAGAGGAUCCAUUGCUUCCUGUAGGUUUUUUUUUCUUUCUGUUUUUGUUGUUUAGGAUAGGCUGUUUUGUUUAGAGGAUAGGCUGCUAAAACUAACCUUCCACUUUUUUUCUCCAGGGAGAAAAAUAAUCUGAGCUAAAGAUAAUCUGUCCAUUAGUUUUAUUAAUAGUGUUCAGCUUUCUUGGCAUGCUUGAGAAGCAGACAGACGUGAGCAUCACAUCUGCAAGCACUGUCACCGCUCCUGAAGCCUUUGGUGAGAGCAGGAAAGUGUACUAACGAGAACUACGAAUGGCCUUUGGAGAGCAAUAGGCUUACCUUAGACCGCGCCUGGCUUCUCGGAACACAAGUUGCUCCAUAUUCCUGUUAGUUCUCAUAGAAGACUUGACCCAGACUCAUUUUUUAUUUUGAAGUGCCAUUUUCAAUUCUAAACUCUGUUCUUAUCCUUUUUGGAUCAUUUAACUUGAGCAUAAUAAUAUCUACCUGGUGUCCUGAUUCUAGUAUGUAUAUCCAAUGGACUCUGUACAAAACCUUAGAUAUUCAGAUUGCUGGACAUAUAUUUUUUUUCCAUUUUUCAAAUGUUUGGCUUUUUCAUUCUGCAAAGUCUUCUAGCACUUAGGUGUCAUUAGCAUUAGGUGUCUAAUGAAACCUAUGUUACAAACGAGUUAGAUUUCAACUCUACAAAUAAUUUUGUCAUGAAAAAUAUCAAACACAUUGGAAACACACAUCUAGGAGCAAUGUGAAGCACAGAAUUGUGUUUAGCCAGAGCACAAUUUUGUUUCAAUGUUUUCUUUCAUAAUUUAUGCUCCUAGUAUCAUUAAAUAAAAUGCCUUAUAAGGGUCUCUUCAUUAUGCAUGUUAGCCAAAAGAAUGAGAUAGGCUUACAUGGCUGUAUUUCAUUUGCACAGAGCACUGGCCAAGCAUAAUCAUUUGGAGAAGUAAUAAAGUAAGAUAUUGUUGAGA
This is a long non-coding RNA of Mastomys coucha (southern multimammate mouse), 2528 nucleotides long. RefSeq lists it as uncharacterized. The transcript is spliced from 8 exons. The record is from RefSeq and is a predicted model, not a curated record. Lineage: Eukaryota; Metazoa; Chordata; Mammalia; Rodentia; Muridae.